Non-coding RNA from Pangasius djambal, 72 nucleotides. The record is from the annotation of a GenBank genome assembly. Lineage: Eukaryota; Metazoa; Chordata; Actinopteri; Siluriformes; Pangasiidae.
UCCCUGGAGGACUAAUGGUUAGGCUUCAGCACUCUCACUGCCACAGCCUGGGUUCAAUUCUUGGCCAGGGAG